AACGAACGCUGGCGGCAUGCCUAACACAUGCAAGUCGAACGAGACCUUCGGGUCUAGUGGCGCACGGGUGCGUAACGCGUGGGAACCUGCCCUUAGCUUCGGAAUAACUCCCCGAAAGGGGUGCUAAUACCGGAUAAUGUCUUCGGACCAAAGAUUUAUCGCCUUUGGAUGGGCCCGCGUUGGAUUAGCUAGUUGGUAGGGUAAAAGCCUACCAAGGCGACGAUCCAUAGCUGGUCUGAGAGGAUGAUCAGCCACACUGGGACUGAGACACGGCCCAGACUCCUACGGGAGGCAGCAGUGGCGAAUAUUGGACAAUGGGCGAAAGCCUGAUCCAGCAAGGCCGCGUGAGUGAUGAAGGCCUUAGGGUUGUAAAGCUCUUUUACCCGGGAUGAUAAUGACAGUACCGGGAGAAUAAGCUCCGGCUAACUCCGUG
RNAcentral lists this ribosomal RNA (433 nucleotides) under uncultured bacterium. Its description in RNAcentral is "partial 16S ribosomal RNA". It matches the Rfam family "Bacterial small subunit ribosomal RNA", at positions 29 to 507 of the family's 1533-position model. The record is from RNAcentral.